AUACGUAGGGGGCGAGCGUUAUCCGGAUUUACUGGGCGUAAGGGGUGUGUAGGCGGAUCUGCAAGUCAGAUGUGAAAACUAUCGGCUUAACUGAUAGCGUGCAUUUGAAACUGCAGACCUUGAGAGUCGGAGAGGUAAGCGGAAUUCCCAGUGUAGCGGUGAAAUGCGUAGAUAUUGGGAGGAACACCAGUGGCGAAGGCGGCUUACUGGACGACCACUGACGCUGACACGAGAGAGUGUGGGGAGAAAACAAGAUUAGAUCCCCUUGUAGUCCACGCUGUAAAAGAUGAAUACUAGGUGUGAGCGUGAAAACCUUCGUGCCGAAGUUAACGCAUUAAGUAUUCCACCUGGGGAGUACGGCCGCAAGGUUGAAACUCAAAUGAAUUGACGGGG
Molecule: ribosomal RNA, 393 nt
Filed under: uncultured bacterium
Lineage: Bacteria
Description: partial 16S ribosomal RNA
Rfam family: Bacterial small subunit ribosomal RNA
Source: RNAcentral